GGUACCUGAAGAAAAAGCAUCGGCUAACUCCGUGCCAGCAGCCGCGGUAAUACGAAGGAUGCAAGCGUUAUCCGGAAUCAUUGGGCGUAAAGGGUCCGCAGGUGGCCAAUCAAGUCGGCUGUUAAAGACCGGGGCUUAACUCCGGGCAGGCAGUGGAAACUGAUUAGCUAGAGUACGGUAGGGGUAGAGGGAAUUCCCAGUGUAGCGGUGAAAUGCGUAGAUAUUGGGAAGAACACCGGUGGCGAAAGCGCUCUACUAGGCCGAAACUGACACUGAGGGACGAAAGCUAGGGUAGCGAAAGGGAUUAGAUACCCCUGUAGUCUUAGCUGUAAACGAUGGAUACUAGGUGUAGCUCGUAUCGACCCCAGCUGUGCCGAAGCUAACGCGAUAAGUAUCCCGCCUGGGGAGUACGCACGCAAGUGUGAAACUCAAAGGAAUUGACGGGGGCCCGCACAAGCGGUGGAGUAUGUGGUUUAAUUCGAUGCAACGCGAAGAACCUUACCAGGGCUUGACAUGUCGCGAAUCUAGCGGAAACGUUAGAGUGCCUUAGGGAAUGCGAACACAGGUGGUGCAUGGCUGUCGUCAGCUCGUGUCGUGAGAUGUUGGGUUAAGUCCCGCAACGAGCGCAACCCUCGUCCUUAGUUGCCAAUAUUAAGUUAGGCACUCUAGGGAUACUGCCGGGGACAACUCGGAGGAAGGUGGGGAUGACGUCAAGUCAGCAUGCCCCUUACGUCCUGGGCGACACACGUACUACAAUGGUUGGGACAAAGGGCAGCAAGCUCGCGAGAGUAAGCGAAUCUCAUCAAACCCAGCCACAGUUCAGAUUGCAGGCUGCAACUCGCCUGCAUGAAGUAGGAAUCGCUAGUAAUCGCAGGUCAGCAUACUGCGGUGAAUUCGUUCCCGGGCCUUGUACACACCGCCCGUCACACCAUGGAAGCUGGCUACGCCCGAAGUCGUUACCCUAACCCUAAGGGGAGGGGGAUGCCGAAGGUAGAGCUAGUGACUGGGGUGAAGUCGUAACAAGGUAGCCGUACCUGAAGGUGUGGCUGGAUCACCUCCUUU
Molecule: ribosomal RNA, 1062 nt
Filed under: uncultured cyanobacterium
Lineage: Bacteria; Bacillati; Cyanobacteriota
Description: bacterial SSU rRNA
Rfam family: Bacterial small subunit ribosomal RNA
Source: RNAcentral